Molecule: transfer RNA, 72 nt
Filed under: Trichonephila inaurata madagascariensis
Lineage: Eukaryota; Metazoa; Arthropoda; Arachnida; Araneae; Nephilidae
Rfam family: tRNA
About the family: Transfer RNA (tRNA) molecules are approximately 80 nucleotides in length. Their secondary structure includes four short double-helical elements and three loops (D, anti-codon, and T loops).
Source: Rfam by way of RNAcentral
GGGGGUAUAGCUCAGUGAUAGAGCAUUCGAUUGCAGAUCGAGAGGUCCUCGGAUCAAACCCGGGUGUCAUUU